Molecule: ribosomal RNA, 482 nt
Filed under: uncultured bacterium
Lineage: Bacteria
Description: partial 16S ribosomal RNA
Rfam family: Bacterial small subunit ribosomal RNA
Source: RNAcentral
GACGAACGCUGGCGGCGUGCCUAACACAUGCAAGUCGAACGGAACUGUUUUGAAAGAUUUCUUCGGAAUGAAUUUGAUUUAGUUUAGUGGCGGACGGGUGAGUAACGCGUGAGUAACCUGCCUUCAAGAGGGGAAUAACAUUCUGAAAAGAAUGCUAAUACCGCAUGACAUAUCGGAACCACAUGGUUUUGAUAUCAAAGAUUUUAUCGCUUGAAGAUGGACUCGCGUCCGAUUAGUUAGUUGGUGAGGUAACGGCUCACCAAGACCGCGAUCGGUAGCCGGACUGAGAGGUUGAACGGCCACAUUGGGACUGAGACACGACCCAGACUCCUACGGGAGACAGCAGUGGGGGAUAUUGCGCAAUGGGGGCAACCCUGACGCAGCAACGCCGCGUGAAGGAGGAAGGUUUUCGGAUUGUAAACUUCUUUUAUUAAGGACGAAAAAUGACGGUACUUAAUGAAUAAGCUCCGGCUAACUACGUG